RNAcentral lists this ribosomal RNA (252 nucleotides) under uncultured bacterium. Its description in RNAcentral is "partial 16S ribosomal RNA". It matches the Rfam family "Bacterial small subunit ribosomal RNA", at positions 524 to 776 of the family's 1533-position model. The record is from RNAcentral.
UACAGAGGCCUCAAGCGUUGUUCGGAUUCAUUGGGCGUAAAGGGUGCGUAGGUGGCUUGUUAAGUUGAAGGUGAAAUCUCGGGGCUCAACUCCGAAACUGCCUUCAAUACUGGCGAGCUCGAGGACUGUAGAGGAGAAUGGAAUUCACGGUGUAGCAGUGAAUGCGUAGAUAUCGUGAGGAAGACCAGUGGCGAAGGCGAUUCUCUGGGCAGUUCCUGACACUGAGGCACGAAGGCCAGGGGAGCGAACGGG